CCUACGGGUGGCAGCAGUGGGGAAUAUUGGUCAAUGGACGAGAGUCUGAACCAGCCAAGUAGCGUGAAGGAUGACUGCCCUAUGGGUUGUAAACUUCUUUUAUAUGGGAAUAAAACGUUCCACGUGUGGGAUUUUGUAUGUACCAUAUGAAUAAGGAUCGGCUAACUCCGUGCCAGCAGCCGCGGUAAUACGGAGGAUCCGAGCGUUAUCCGGAUUUAUUGGGUUUAAAGGGAGCGUAGGUGGAUUGUUAAGUCAGUUGUGAAAGUUUGCGGCUCAACCGUAAAAUUGCAGUUGAAACUGGCAGUCUUGAGUACAGUAGAGGUGGGCGGAAUUCGUGGUGUAGCGGUGAAAUGCUUAGAUAUCACGAAGAACUCCGGUUGCGAAGGCAGUUCACUGGACUGCAACUGACACUGAGGCUCGAAAGUGUGGGUAUCAAACAGGAUUAGAUACCCCUGUAGUC
This 460-nucleotide ribosomal RNA is filed under the name uncultured bacterium. Its description in RNAcentral is "partial 16S ribosomal RNA". It matches the Rfam family "Bacterial small subunit ribosomal RNA", at positions 338 to 795 of the family's 1533-position model. The record is from RNAcentral.